Molecule: long non-coding RNA, 110 nt
Organism: Sphaeramia orbicularis (orbiculate cardinalfish)
Lineage: Eukaryota; Metazoa; Chordata; Actinopteri; Kurtiformes; Apogonidae
Exons: 3
Source: RefSeq, a predicted model, not a curated record
UGUUCCUGUUUCUGGAAGGACUUCUACUGGACAUCUACCAGAAGAAAGAAACGCAGCAGCACAUUUUGAUUGAAUGACAAACCCACAUUACACACUUCUGUUGGACACAC